This 460-nucleotide ribosomal RNA is filed under the name uncultured bacterium. RNAcentral's name for it is "partial 16S ribosomal RNA". It matches the Rfam family "Bacterial small subunit ribosomal RNA", at positions 338 to 795 of the family's 1533-position model. The record is from RNAcentral.
CCUACUUUUGUCAUCAGUGAUGAAUAUUUGUCAAUUUGCUGGAGCCUGAACCAGCCAAGUCGCGUGAGGGAAGACGGUCCUAUGGAUUGUAAACCUCUUUAGGCGGGGAGCAAUGCCGGGCACGUGUGCCCGGAGGGAGAGUACCCGCAGAAUAAGCAUCGGCUAACUCCGUGCCAGCAGCCGCGGUAAUACGGAGGAUGCGAGCGUUAUCCGGAUUUAUUGGGUUUAAAGGGUGCGUAGGCGGCUUUUGAAGUCAGAGGUAAAAUGUCGGGGCUCAACCCGGGCCGGCCGUUGAAACUGGGGAUCUUGAGUGGGCGAGAAGUAUGCGGAAUGCGUGGUGUAGCGGUGAAAUGCAUAGAUAUCACGCAGAACUCCGAUUGCGAAGGCAGCAUACCGGCGCCCGACUGACGCUGAGGCACGAAAGCGUGGGGAUCGAACAGGAUUAGAUACCCCUGUAGUC